GGCGCAAACCAUUCUGCUUUCGAAAACACGGCGAAGUCCUCAGGCAGUACUGGAGACUUGUCCCGCAAGGUCGCCGAGGGGGUGAUUGUAGUUGAUCAGAGUGGCGCCGGACAUUAUAAGACCAUCAAUGAAGCAAUCAAUGCAGUCCCUCUUCACAACAAAUAUGCGGUCACCAUCAAAGUGAACCCUGGAAUAUACAUGUAAGGAGCUCAAUAUUCUAAUGCUUCAGUGUACACUUUUUUUCUUUUCUUUGCGGCCAUCAGCAGAAAUUUUUCUAUUUCUUUUUUCAGUUCAUCCGUAGGCAUUUGCGUAACUGGUUGCUACUCUGACUGUUUAAAUAGAGAUACACGAUCCUUUUGAGCUUGCAACAUGGGCAUAUGAAUCAAGUGUGGUGACUGAGCAUUGCAGUGAAAGGGUAAUGGUACCCAAGAGCAAGUGGCGCAUUACUUUGCAAGGAUCUGGCCGAGAUGUGACCAAAAUCACGUCGAGAAAUGCUGCAGGCGAUACAGGGACAACGUACACAACCUCAACCUUCGGCGUUAGCGCUCCUUACUUCACAGCGAGAAACAUCACAUUUGAGGUAAGACGGAGUGUUAUGGGCGCCUCAAAAGGCCAAGCCGUGUAUCAACCUUCCUACAGAAGCUUCUAACUGCCAGCAUAGGCCACAUUUAUCAAUUGUUCACCUGAAUCUCUGUUGUUUGCUGCGGUUGCUACCUCAGUGAUGGUACGCCAGUUUUUCUUGUUUGAGCUUGCAGUUAGCGCGGACCACCAUGUCUUUGUCUCCUUACAUUCUAACCACUCAAUCGUGAUAGAACUCGUCACCUCUUCAAAUCGGAGGAGCUCAGCAACAAGCGGUCGCGUUGCGAACAACGGGCGAUUUUAAUGCCUUCUACGGAUGUGCUUUCCUUGGGCAGCAGGACACUCUCUACGACGACAGAGGCCGCCAUUACUUCAAAGAAUCUCUUAUUGUGGGCUCUGUAGAUUUCAUUUUCGGCGACGGGAA
Molecule: long non-coding RNA, 1003 nt
Filed under: Physcomitrium patens
Lineage: Eukaryota; Viridiplantae; Streptophyta; Bryopsida; Funariales; Funariaceae
Description: long non-coding RNA (PPAT_LNC006608)
Source: RNAcentral